This 497-nucleotide ribosomal RNA is filed under the name uncultured bacterium. RNAcentral describes it as "partial 16S ribosomal RNA". It matches the Rfam family "Bacterial small subunit ribosomal RNA", at positions 28 to 507 of the family's 1533-position model. The record is from RNAcentral.
GAUGAACGCUGGCGGCGUGCCUAAUACAUGCCAGUCGAGCGAACAGACGAGGAGCUUGCUCCUCUGACGUUAGCGGCGGACGGGUGAGUAACACGUGGAUAACCUACCUAUAAGACUGGGAUAACUUCGGGAAACCGGAGCUAAUACCGGAUAAUAUAUUGAACCGCAUGGUUCAAUAGUGAAAGACGGUUUUGCUGUCACUUAUAGAUGGAUCCGCGCCGCAUUAGCUAGUUGGUAAGGUAACGGCUUACCAAGGCAACGAUGCGUAGCCGACCUGAAAGGGUGAUCGGCCACACUGGAACUGAGACACGGUCCAGACUCCUACGGGAGGCAGCAGUAGGGAAUCUUCCGCAAUGGGCGAAAGCCUGACGGAGCAACGCCGCGUGAGUGAUGAAGGUCUUCGGAUCGUAAAACUCUGUUAUUAGGGAAGAACAAAUGUGUAAGUAACUAUGCACGUCUUGACGGUACCUAAUCAGAAAGCCACGGCUAACUACGUG